Molecule: small RNA, 46 nt
Filed under: Desulfomonile tiedjei DSM 6799
Lineage: Bacteria; Pseudomonadati; Thermodesulfobacteriota; Desulfomonilia; Desulfomonilales; Desulfomonilaceae
Description: Acido-Lenti-1 RNA
Rfam family: Acido-Lenti-1 RNA
Source: Rfam by way of RNAcentral
CCCGGCGAUGAAUCGCCGGGCUAUUUUCUUCCGUCCCUUCGGGACG